Molecule: ribosomal RNA, 321 nt
Filed under: Allapsidae sp.
Lineage: Eukaryota; Cercozoa; Glissomonadida; Viridiraptoridae
Description: SSU rRNA
Rfam family: Eukaryotic small subunit ribosomal RNA (bases 59-321)
Source: RNAcentral
GAUUUCUGAUGUGGCGCACCUAGCCCGCCACGGUUACGUGUGUGAGUGCCGGGAUGCGCACGUCACUUUUCUGGUAAACUAUUGUGCUCUUCACUGAGUGCGAUAGGUAGCCAGAUAUUUUACUUUGAAAAAAUUAGAGUGUUUAAAGCAGGCGUUUGCUAUGAAUACAUUAGCAUGGAAUAAUAAGUUAGGACUUCGGUUCUAUUUUGUUGGUUUUUAGGACUGAAGUAAUGAUUGAUAGGGAUAGUUGGGGGUGCUAGUAUUCAGCGGCCAGAGGUGAAAUUCUCGGAUUCGCUGAAGACUAACUUAUGCGAAAGCAUU